UCUGGGUUGGGUGUAUGCACAGGAGUGUGGUCACAGCUGAGGCAGAAAAAAAAUGGAUCACAAAUGCACCCAACAUCUGUGAUCCUUUUUUUCACCU
RNAcentral lists this non-coding RNA (97 nucleotides) under Eutreptiella gymnastica. The record is from RNAcentral. Lineage: Eukaryota; Euglenozoa; Euglenophyceae; Eutreptiales; Eutreptiaceae.